UCUCAGUAUGUGUUUGCAAGUCUCAUUAAUGAUAAUGGAAGUUAUGUGCCUGCAGGAGAAUGAAAGGAGAAGGCAUCUAUCAUGUCAAUGACCCAUGAAGUAAGAAGAAAUUAUAUAGUCUACCAUAAAGACACUGAAGGAGUCAUUAUAGCCUAUUAGAAAAAGUGACAUUCAGUACCCUACCUAGGAGCUGUAACAGCAACAGAGGCAUUGUC
This 215-nucleotide long non-coding RNA is filed under the name Gallus gallus (chicken). Lineage: Eukaryota; Metazoa; Chordata; Aves; Galliformes; Phasianidae. The record is from RNAcentral.